GCAUCUGAGGCUGGGGGAAAGGCUUUGGCCGUUCACCUCUGUUAUGGCCCUCCCUUCAAUCUGUCACCCCAUUGAUGGCCAAGGUGGGGGUCCCCUUCCUCCCUCAGUGAUCCAUGUGGUCCCUCCCGAAGCCGCGCUCUCAGUGGAAGAGGACGACCACCCCACUGGAGGAGGACUGUAGCUGUGCUCCCCGCUAGAACCUACACACAAGCUCUCAAGGCCCCCUCCCUUCAAGGAGGCUGCACUAUAGAGCAGACUGACUGGGUUUCAUAGCACAGAUAAGUUCACUAAUAAAACAAAACUGUUG
Unclassified non-coding RNA from Cavia aperea (Brazilian guinea pig), 307 nucleotides. Its record names the gene 7SK. It matches the Rfam family "7SK RNA". From Rfam's summary of the family: 7SK was discovered as an abundant small nuclear RNA in the mid-70s but a possible function has only recently been suggested. Two independent studies have found that 7SK RNA binds the CDK9/cyclin T complex (known as elongation factor P-TEFb). The record is from Ensembl. Lineage: Eukaryota; Metazoa; Chordata; Mammalia; Rodentia; Caviidae.